UACGGAGGGUGCAAACGUUGUCCGGAAUCACUGGGCGUAAAGCGCAUGUAGGUGGUCUUGUGCGUCUUUGAUUAAAGACUGCCGCUUAACGGCAGGAUUGUUGGAGAUACGGCAAGACUGGAGGAUAGCAGGGGUACGUGGAACUUUGAGUGUAGGAGUGAUAUCCGUAGAUAUUCAGAGGAACACCAAUGGCGAAGGCAGCGUACUGGGCUAUUUCUGACACUAAGAUGCGAAAGCGUGGGGAGCAAACAGG
RNAcentral lists this unclassified non-coding RNA (253 nucleotides) under uncultured Candidatus Berkelbacteria bacterium. RNAcentral's name for it is "contains 16S-23S intergenic spacer region". It matches the Rfam family "Bacterial small subunit ribosomal RNA", at positions 524 to 776 of the family's 1533-position model. Lineage: Bacteria; Candidatus Berkelbacteria. The record is from RNAcentral.